RNAcentral lists this unclassified non-coding RNA (378 nucleotides) under uncultured bacterium. RNAcentral's name for it is "contains 16S-23S intergenic spacer region". The record is from RNAcentral.
UCCCGGUUAACCCGGGCAGUCUCACUAGAGUCCCCGCCUUUACGCGUUGGCAACUAAUGAUAAGGGUUGCGCUCGUUGCGGGACUUAACCCAACACCUCACGGCACGAGCUGACGACAGCCAUGCAGCACCUCUAUAGCGGUUCUUUCGAAAAGAUACAUUUCUGUACCGAUCCCCUACAGUUCAAGCCCAGGUAAGGUUCUUCGCGUUGCAUCGAAUUAAACCACAUGCUCCACUGCUUGUGCGGGCCCCCGUCAAUUCUUUUGAGUUUCAGCCUUGCGACUGUACUCCCCAGGCGGCAUACUUAACGCGUUAGCUCCGGCACAGCCAGGGUUGAGCCUGGCUACACCAAGUAUGCAUCGUUUACGGCUGGGACUAC